This 445-nucleotide long non-coding RNA is filed under the name Calidris pugnax (ruff). RNAcentral describes it as "lncRNA (ENSCPUG00000015752.1)". The record is from RNAcentral. Lineage: Eukaryota; Metazoa; Chordata; Aves; Charadriiformes; Scolopacidae.
GUAACAGAAUACAGAAGGAGGCUUUCUAGUAAUGACCAUAGGAGCUGUGAUUAUAGACCUGUUUGAUAUGUAAGAUAUGAUUUAAUGGAGCAGUGAAACAGGAGUUCAGCUCUCUUUUGAAGUUGGACUUUAUCAGCAAGAGAGAUUUCCAAACCACUGUGUGGACUUUGUCAAUAACUCUGGCGUUAGGACUGGAACAACCACGUCUGGUUUGCUGGAAUCUAAGUAUGUUUGCCUGCACUCAGACCAGGCUCCUGGAAAUCAUUAUAUUUGCUGUUUCUGCAGUGGCUGGAGAGUUUCUCUACUGUUAUUGGUAUUUCUGUCCUUUAGUUUAAGGAGGCUACAGGGGACUGACUUGAUGAGCAGAAGAAAAGAUCUGUUAACCUAAAAGGUGAGGAAAAUGAAUUGUUUGCGAUUAGGUUAAUGUUCAGGAACAGCUGUUCUU